GGGAUGGCAGGUAGCUCGUUGGCUAGGCUUGUGGCUUGCUGCAGGCUUUUGGCUCUCGGGUGUAAUUGGCUGACCAUAUCGGCACUGUGCAGUAUGUCGGAGACGGCGGCUUGUGGUGUGUGCGUUCGUGCCAGUUGGUUGGCGUUUCCGGGUUUGGUUGUUAUGUUGCCUGUGUUUGCAGGCCUGAUGAUAGCUCGGAUUCGCUUGAUCGGCGGCUGCGUGCGUGUCACUUUCCAGGGCCAAUAGUCUGUGGUGUUGCGGUAGACUAUCCACCUGACCCGUCUUGAAACACGGACCAAGGAGAGUAACAUGUGCGCGAGUCAUUGGGCGUUACGAAACCCAAAGGCGAAGUGAAAGUAAAGGUCCGGCUUGUCUGGACUGAGGUGAGAUCCUGUCGUUUCUCACGCGCGGUAUCACCAAGCAUCGAGCGGCAGGCGCAUCACCGGCCCGUCCCAUGGUGUGGUGACAAUCUUUUGAGCGUUCGUCACCGGGGCGGAGCAUGAGCGUGCAUGUUGAGACCCGAAAGAUGGUGAACUAUGCUUGCGCAGGUUGAAGCCAGAGGAAACUCUGGUGGAGGACCGCAGCGAUUCUGACGUGCAAAUCGAUCGUCAGACGUGAGUAUAGGGGCGAAAGACUAAUCG
RNAcentral lists this ribosomal RNA (641 nucleotides) under Pseudosellacotyla lutzi. RNAcentral describes it as "partial large subunit ribosomal RNA". It matches the Rfam family "Eukaryotic large subunit ribosomal RNA", at positions 413 to 937 of the family's 3401-position model. The record is from RNAcentral. Lineage: Eukaryota; Metazoa; Platyhelminthes; Trematoda; Plagiorchiida; Faustulidae.